UGCUCCAGUCUGAUCAUUCCUGGCCACCUGAUAAUCUCUUUGUGCAAACACCAGGAAGCCCUAGUUAGAGGUGUGGACACCAGGUGUUCUUGAGGAGGACAGUGGUGACUCAGUUUUAUCUGACCCCAUGCUCUCAAGUUCCUUUUCUGCGAGACACUUCUUAUGUGCUACUUUGGACCCUCUCAUUUAUCUGUGGGCCAUUGGCCACUGGCCCCAGCCACAGCUGAGACCACCAACUCUGCAUGGACUCAGACAGGCGCCACCCAGGCACACCCAGCAGCCCCUGCCUCAGGUCCCAGCCAGGCACCCCUUAGGCUUGCCUGGACACUAGGAUGGGAGACACUGUAUCCAUCCAUCCACGACCAGCAAGUAGAGGCAAUUAAUACCCUUCAGGCGACCCAACGCAAGCUGGGAGCCUGUGCACAAAUUAUUCUCCCUUUCUCCGAAAAGGAUUGUGCUGAGAAACAUUUGUACAGCUUCCCAGAGGAUGGUCCUUGGGAUCGAGCAAGCAGUUAUGUUUGUUACCAAGCCGUGGCCAGCUCCAUAACACACCCUGGAGUUGGCGCCACUUCCUUCCCAGCUACACUCCCCUUUCUCUCACACCUGCUCCCUGGGGUCACCUCCCUACCAAAGGAGGGGCACAGGAGCCUUUGUUUCCCACUCUGCUUUCCAAGAAACCCAAACCAAGCCACUCUGAGUUCCUUCCAGAGCUCCACUUCCACUUCACGGGAUCCUCUUAGUACCACAGUCAGCGCCCAACAUGCCUCUGAGAUGGGCAUGUGAUCCCGGCUGGCCAGUCAGCGCCUUAUUCCUCUGGCCACAGAACUUGGCUCAGGAACUGACAUGUGACCAAUCUGAAUUUUCCCUGGGGACUGAUACGUGGACACCAGGGACCUCAUGCACCAGUAGGGUCGCUGCCUUCCUUCUCUGCGAGAGAUGAUUCUGUCUCAUCCAAUCAAGACUUGAGUGGACUCCAGCUUCCCAGAAAGCCUUUCUCCAUCAUCCCAGCCCCACGGGAUCUUACCUGCUUCACUGGUAACACCCAGAAUCCUCAGCACAACUGCUACCACCAGAAAUACGUGUCAGAUUCUUGAAAACCUUAAAAGCAACCGCUAUUAAAAAUAUGAUGUCUACCUUCAAAAUUACUACAGAAGAUGAAAAGAAACAAAACCAACUACAUAGCAAAGGAGUGAAUAUAACAGGAAAAGAAACAGCAUAGAAAUUACAACAGCCAGCCAUCACAUCACAAAAAUAUGUAUUACAUAAGGAGUAAAAGACGACAUAAAAGAGACAAAAUACCAGCUUCAUAGCGAAGAGUAGGUGAAGGUAAGAAAAGAGAUUUAAAAUAUAAUUCUCCAAAGCUUGGCAAGCUAUCAAUAGAGUCAAGAAGUUAAAAACUUAAAUAUUUUCCAAAUUGAAUAUUUAGGUUAAAUUACCUUGUCUAUCUUAAUGGGACAAAAGGAAGAGAAGAUUCACAGUAGAAACCAAAAAUGAAAAAACUGUAAUAUCACAAUAUAGAAAACAGAGGGGCAACCUCACAGAGGUUUAUGCAAAUAUUAUAAGCAAUUGUUAAUACUCCCUAUAUUAAUCUAUUAAAACCAACCAUCAAUUUAAAAAAAAAACAAAAUUCGAUCAUCUUUUGUCAAGGAAA
Molecule: long non-coding RNA, 1651 nt
Organism: Symphalangus syndactylus (siamang)
Lineage: Eukaryota; Metazoa; Chordata; Mammalia; Primates; Hylobatidae
Source: RefSeq, a predicted model, not a curated record